Molecule: long non-coding RNA, 518 nt
Organism: Arvicola amphibius (Eurasian water vole)
Lineage: Eukaryota; Metazoa; Chordata; Mammalia; Rodentia; Cricetidae
Exons: 3
Source: RefSeq, a predicted model, not a curated record
CUUCACAGCAAUACAAACCCAGAAGGAGAAAUGUAACAUGACCUCACCUUGUGUCCGUCACUGGUGACCCGAAGGCAGCCCAGUCGGGAAGAAGACAUGCAAAAGAUGUGGGCUUCUUCUUGGAGUUUGCUACAUGAGAUAAAACACAAUGAAUUCACCUAUAGGAUAAGACACAAUUUUUCUGCACUUCUGUGCCAAGGAACAUACCGUCUCCAGGGAUGCCUGAGUAGGAAAUGUACCUGCCACACCUGCUUGAAGACCCAAGGUCGGAUACCAAGAAUGCACAUAAAAAGCCUGGAGCAGCAAGUCCUGCCUAGAACUCUAGCACUGGGGAAAGGCUGGGUGGGGAAACAGCAGACAGAUACUUGGAGCUCCCUGGCCUGUCAACUUGCGUAACUGAAGAGCUUUAGAUUCAGGGAGAGAUCCUAUCUCAAAAAAAUAAAGCUGGGCUGGAGUGAUGGCUCAGUGGUUAAGAGCACAGACUGCUCUUCCAGAGGACCCAUGUUCAAUUCCCAGCA